Molecule: long non-coding RNA, 104 nt
Organism: Sapajus apella (tufted capuchin)
Lineage: Eukaryota; Metazoa; Chordata; Mammalia; Primates; Cebidae
Exons: 3
Source: RefSeq, a predicted model, not a curated record
CUACACACACACACACACACACACACACACACAGAGUAAUGCUCUACCAGCUAUCUGGAUGUCCUUUAAUCCAGUCAAGUUGACACCUAAAAUUAACCAUCACA